AAAUGUCAAUUGACUCCUCUCACUCAUAGUUGUACAAAUUACAGGGCUUUUUUUUAAUUGUCAUAAAACAUAUACAUUAUUCAUCUAUUCAGUUUCAUCUGAAGAGAAUCCAACAAAGAAGAAAUUUUAUUUUCCAAUAAAAUAUUAAAGCUGCUUUACCCCACAAGAGACAGAGCAGAAAUUCCAUCCAUGAUCUAUAGCUGCUGGUCCUCACACUUGGAUCUCCUAACUCAGAUGACACCUGACCCAGCCUGGGAGUGACCUCUGCGUUGCAGCUCAUAUGCACAUCGACCAUGUGCCUGCCUCACUGCUAUAAGUAAGAUCAGUCCCUAGUAAGGCCUGGCGAAGCUCCCCGUCAGAAACAAAAAGUCCUCCUUUUAUUUUCCACCCCAAGUCACUGUCUGGGAACCUCUACAGAACUGAAGGGGUGUGGCCCUUUUGAAGGACUUCCAUGAACAAAAAGGUUCCCAGAUAAGAACAAUAGACUUAUUGAUGACCAAAUCUGAACCUGCUUACCAUGCUCUGUGGUUUCUCCCUGUAAACGUUUUUCCCAUAAUCCAGUGGCUGCUUUGGAAGAGUUGUCCAGAACACUUUCAUCAGGGCUAUUUUUUCACCCUAUGAUUCUGGCCAUCAUCCAGUUUAUUUUUUGAAAAAGAGCAGCCAGGAGUAAAUCACAUCCCAGAGGAAAAAAAAAAUCCUACAAGGUUCAAAACAUUUUAUAUUCAUGGGAAUAAUUAGGAAAAUUCUAGAAUUAUACCUGUUAGCCAAUUAAGGAGUGACCAACUUCAAAUCACAAAUACAGGUUCCUGAAAACAACAUGUAAUUUUAUGUAACUGACUUACCAGCCUGGGGAUAGAAACAAGGCCAUGAUGCAUUUGAAGGGCCUGCCCAGGGCUUGGUUGGUAACUAGAAUCCAGCAGAGCUGCUGGGCUUGGAAGGAAAGGAUUGCACAGAGAUUAACUCCACCGAAACAUGCCUGUUUUUGCAUAAUAUUUAUGUUUCCGCCCUCAUAAUGGCUUCAUUUCAUUUAUUCUCCAAACCAAAUGGCAGAGACAGCUACUCUUUGUGGUACACAUGGUUACAUUGCUCCUUUUGCCAAUUCCAUGAGAAGAUCAUUGUCACUUUUUCUCUGGCUAUUGAAAACAAAAUAAACAUAGGUCUGAAUCUUUGACUCAUUUUUCACUUAGAAUGGAAGAUAUUGGUAGCCAUAUAUAUCAUUUCACUUAAUUCAGAUCCGCAAAUAUUGAGAAACUUCUAUGGGUAAGCCAUCAUGUUAAGUGCUUCAGGGACCUAAAUCUGAGCAAGACGCAACCCCAGUUCACAAAAUGCUAAAUGAAGUGGCCGAUUGCUGGGAAAUACUGCAGGGAACUAGGGAUCAGAAACAGAUUGUGGGGAACCAGAGGGGAUGGCAAGUCUUCAAAUUACUCUUAAGAAUCAAAGGUCUAACAGAAGUAAACCUCAUGAUCAAAUACAACACAGAUAUAAGGUUAGGGACCACAUGAAAUUUUCUUGCUCUAUAGUACUUAAAAUAAUUUUUUUUUAAAGUAAGAAAGAGAGGCACUUUGAAGUUCCCAAAAUGGAAUGGCUCUUAAGUCAAAGGUUGAGCAGACUUUUAAUAAACUGGUAAUAUAGCUAUAGAUACAGAUAUAAAUUCACAAUUUUAAAUGACACUUUUGCCUACAUCAUCCACUUUUGCAUACAAAAAGGUGAGGUCCCUCCAUGUCAGAAGCACCCCACGAGCAAACACAAGGACUGGGAAUUAUCAGACAGUCAUAUGAACUAGUACAUAAUUUUCCAUGCACACAACAAAACUUUAGUGAGUAACUACUGUGUUCUAAGUGUGAAGUAUAGGUGAUACAAGGAUUUUGAGGCACAGAUGUCUGCCUUCAAGUGUAACACAGUCUGUAGGAAAGGCUGCCAUAUGUGGCUCAUAUAUGUCAGAUGGUAUUAGGAGAUAAAGGUGGGAGGCUAUGCCAGCAUCAUGUUAAGAGGGUCCUUAAAAACAGGCUAAGGGUUAGUAUUUAAUUCAGUGACAAUAGAGGAUCAUUAAAGUUGUUAGGCUAAGGAGUAAUAUCAUCUGGAUUGAGUAUACAGUUCAUUUAAAGUAAAAAUAUAGAAUUCGGCAGGGCUUGGUGGCUCACGCCUAUAAUCCCAGCACUUUGGGAGUCCAAGGCAGGCGGAUCAUGAGGUCAGGAGUUCAAGACCAGCCUGGCCAAUAUGGUGAAACCCUGUCUCUACUAAAAAUACAAAAAUUAGCCAGGCAUAGUGGUGCAUGCCUGUAGUCCCAGCUACUUGGGAGACUGAGGCACGAGAAUCGCUUGAACCUGGGAGGCGGAGGUUGCAGUGAGCUGAGAUCAUGCCACUGCACUCCAGCCUGGGUGACAGAGCAAGACUCCAUCUCAAAAAAAAAAAAGAAAUAUAUGUGUGUGUGUGUGUGUGUGUGUGUGUGUGUGUGUGUGUGUGUGUGUGUAGAGAGAGAGAGAGAGACAAUUCAUUCAGAGCAAAAUCGAAUAAGGAAAAAGACUGGUUUCGAGACAACUGCAAAGCACCCAGGCAAGAGGUAAGAGGAAAUAUGGUAAGAAGUAAAAGGAAGUAUGGUAGCACUCAAGAGAAUUAAUGAAAAAAGAGGAACUCAACUGAAAUUGACAGUGUAGAACACUGACUUGUUUCAGAGGAAAAGAAAAUAUUUGGUAUGGGCCAUGCUGAGUUUGAGAUGCCAUUGGUGUCUAGCCAUCAGUUGGAUAUUCGGGUCUGAGGUACUCGGGUCCUGGCAAGAAAGAUACAUAUGAGUACUAUCCUCAUGGGAGUGAUGGUUAAGGCCACAGGAUUGAACAAGAUAGCUGAGGUAGCAAGUGUAGGUCUAGAAGCAGGAAGAAGAAAACAUUCCGGAGGACACGUACAUGUAUAGAGAAGUAGAAAGAGAAGUAUGUAAAGAGAAAGGAGAACUGAGAAAAGAAUGCCAGGGAAGCAGAGAGGGGGAUGCUUAAAUGAGAGAAGCAACAAUCAAAUGCUAAGAAGAAGCCAGAGACGCAUAGCCUGAGAUGAGCACUUGGAUCCAGUGCAUAGGUCAACAGUUGCCUCUGAAAAAGACACUUUAGUGGGGCUGAGAAUAGAAAAGUCAGCAUUCAAGAUAGUGAAAAAUGAGUAGGUACACAGCACAGAAAUGGACUUUAGGGAGUUUGAUAGAGGAUUAUAGAAUGAAGAUGGAAAUGACAAGGGAAGAAUUGAUGGGGAAAGGUCAAGGGAAUCAGGCUGGCAGUUAGAGGGGUUAACCUGACAAAGAAAAAGGACACAUACUCCUCAGAAGCAAAUUAGAAAGAAGAAAGCAUAGGAAGGGGCAGUGAAAAUACAAAGAUUCUCUCCCUAGACCCUGUCACCCAUGCCUAUGGGCACAAUUACCGCCUCUCCUGGAAUUACCCACAAAUGUCUGUCUGUCUGCUGCCCUAACCUCUUCCUGAGCUCCUAAGCUAUAUAUAAAACUACCUACUAGAAAACACGUGGAUACCUUCAAGGCUCCUCAACUUCAACCUGCCCAAAUCAAAUUCAUGACCUUUUCUUCCAAACAGUGUCAUCCUGUACUGUUCCCUGCCCGAUAAAUGAUAUCAUUAUCCAUCAAAACUGCCAAAGUUCAAAAGUCAGGACUUGCUUCUACACCUCUAUUGCUCUCAACUUCACCCCCAACCAAAGGGCUUUUAAUUUGUCUCCUCAAAUCUGCUUUUGCCCCCUUCUAAGCUCUGCACUGCAGCUAGAGUGACCUUUUCAAAACUCAACUCUGAUCAUGGUCACUCCUGCUUAGAUCCCUGCAGUGACUUCCUCUUGGGCAGGGCCACAGUCUGACUUGACUGUUCAGGCAAUAUGUGGCCUGGCUCUGCCCACCUCCCUGCCUCACCCCACAUUCUCCCCCACCCACAUGCCCUGGCUAGUGUGUCUUCUCUGUGCUUCCUCACAUAAUUCCAGUUCUCUUCCACCUCUGGGCUCUGCACAUGCUGUUCCACCUGCCUGGUACUUCCUUCCCACCAUCCUUUCCACCUGGUUAACUUCUACUUCAGGGAGAAUAGAAGACAGCAUUAUAUCAUGGUGAUUAGGACCCCAGGCUUUGGAAUCAAACUGAGUUCCAAAACCCACUCCUCUACUCACCCACUGGGGGGUCCUAAACAAGUUAUAUACUGUAUCUAAGCCUAAGUUUCUCACCUGUAUGUUAACAUGAGUCCAUACUUCACAGAGAUUAUUCAUAGAAAGCACUAAAAUCUGAGACUGGCACAUAAUGCCCACUUCGUAAAUGUCUGCAAUUUUUUGUUAAUCUUUUUUCCAGCCAUGGGUCAAUCAUCACUUCAUGAAGAAGCCUCUGCCCAGGUCACCACCCCUUCCUCUGCACCCGCAGUCUCCUUUUUUGCACCCAACACAGAUUUACUUCUGCACUUACGUAUGAGAUUUUUAGAAUACACCUGUCUUCUCCACCAGAAGGCUCAUUGACAGCAGGAUUCGCCUGCUUUGCUCGUGCAGAGAGCCCAGCCUCUAGCACAAUACCUGACACAGAGUAGACACUCUACCAGUACUUCCUCAAUGAAGGAAUGAAUGAAUGAGCAAACCACAGUAGCCCAGCUGUGGUUAGAGUGGAAGUAAGCAUAUCCAGCUUGUCCUGUAAGCAACAGCCCAGUAUUUGGUCAUUUGGCCAUUGCGUCCUUGCAUUAGUGGGGGCCUGAUGAGCAGUUUGUCAUCUCAUCUAUGAAUGCCAGUAAAUCAUUAUCAGCAAUAUUUAUUUUUUAAAAACUAGGCGAGCCUGAGGUAAAAUUCAUAUUUUUGCAGGCCUCGUUGGCCAAGGACAUUCGGUCUUCCCUGGCUGAGGCUGAUGAAGAUGAUGACAGCAGAGAUGAUAAUGUUGUAAUUAACAAAGCUUAUGAAUAUUAGCACAUUAAACUCUAGAACACUUUGGUCUAAUAAAUGGGACAUACAGAACAGAAGCUCCUGAAGGUCAUCUCAUAUGCCAAGUGAGAAAUAGGGAGAGAGCCCUGUCACUUGCUCUCUUUGGCGCAUCUUAAUUUCUGUGUUGUAGAUACAUACACACACGCCUCACCAGGUCCCUGUGCCUGGAUGUGACCUUCCAUGGUCUUCUGACUAUUAACUGUGACAUAUGAAGUUCAUGAGUCAGACCCCAUAGUCUGCAUCCCUGCUUAUCACUACGUGACCUUCCCUCCCCUCAGGUCUCUUCCAAAGAAGACCACUGAGUUGGCUCACACUUUAUUUUAGGGAAUGUUUUCUGACUACUUCUCUUGGUGUCUGUUAAUGGGCAAAUAUCAAAUCCAUGGGAAAUUCCUACACAGUUCUCAACAAAUAUGAGGAAAAGCAAACGAAAGAUCCCUAUAACUCUUUAUACAUCGCCUUUACAGCAUGUAAACCCUUUGAUUAACAUCUCCUGGCCGUGUGCAGUGGCUCACACCUGUAAUCACAGCACUUUGAAAGGCUGAGGUGGGAGGAUCACUUGAGCCCAGGAGUUUGAGACCAGCUUGAGCAACAUAGUGAGACCAAUAUCAAUCGAGAAAAAUGACGAGACAAGUCUCAAUCAUUUUAGGAGGUUUAUUUGCCACAGUUAAGGAUGUAUGCCCGGGAGACAGGUCUAUGCCUUUCUCUGAAGAUGAUUCUGAGGGCUCCAAAUUUAAAGGGGAAAGGGCAGGAUAUUCAGAAGUACACAAUUUUCAUGUAAGAGCGGGGGUAGGGAAAAAUAGUCGUUCAUGCCUUUGUCCGGCUCAGUGACUCUGCAUUUUUUUAUAUAAGGUGAUAUAGACAAAUGGGGCAGAGGAAAAAUGCAGGGUAUCUGUAUUUUACAUAAGAUAACAUAGACAAAAUGGGGCAGGAGAACAAUCAGAUAUGCCUUUGUGUCUGGUGGGCAGGGAGAUGACUGCACCUGUAAGGAUAAGCUAUAAAUUUACAUUGCAAUGGCGAAAUUGUGAAAUUUUAACAGAAACACCUUAAAAGAUCUUGAAGCUCACUAGGAAUUUCCUUGUGGGCAAAAUAUGGCAGAGAUGUAUAGCUUUUCAUCUUGUAGCCAUCUUAUUUAGGAAGCAAAAAGGUGGAAGCAGGUUGCAUCAUCCAGUUCUCGGCCCAGCUUUUCCCUUUGGCUUAAUGAGUUUAGGGUCCCAAGAUUUCAUUUCCUUUCACACCCCCAUCUCUACAAAAAAAAAUAAAAAUAAAAAUUAGCCAGGCCUGUACUAAUAGCUAAGAGUACUAGCACGCACUUGCAGUCCUAGCUAUUCAGGAGGCUGAGGUGGGAGGGUCCCUGGAGCCCAGGAGUUCAAAGCUGCAGUGAGCCAUGAUCACACCACUGCACUCCACCCUGGGUGAAAGAGCAUGACCCUGUCUCUUAAAAAAAAAGAAAAAACCCUCCCUUUGCCUCUAAUGACAAAACGGUCUUUCCCUUGGUGGAAUAGCUUGGGAGCUUUGGGAAGACUGAAUGCACAGUAGGUUCUGCAUUGUCAUUAGAAUCUAUGCUAAAGUUAUCAAUGGCCUUUAUUUUAUUGAGUACCUAGUAAAUGUAGCAAACCAAAGGCCCGAGAUGCAUUUACUUUACUUGCCAUUAAAUUAGGCAGUAGCUUCAAUGACAUAAGGGUAAAAUCUAAUGAGCUUUGUACUCUUGUUAGAACAGGUAAGGAGAAUUGAGGUCUCAGCAUUCACAGAUGAUGUUAUGGCCCUUUGUGUCCUAGGACUGUUUAUCUUAGGAGCUCUGUUUGACCCCUGGCAGACUGUUGUCUUUAGCUGAAACAGUAAAGUGUGAUUCACCACAAUAUGGUAAUGUUGAGAAAUCCAAGGAAAACCUUUCAUUUCCAGAACUUAGUGACCCUUUUUGAAGAAAUCUAUUAUUGUCUAGCAAUUUUAUUACAAAAGCACAUUAGGGUUUAAAAAUGUGAAGUGGGUGUGGAAAAAAAAGGCUUAUGUAACAUUAGACGCAAAAAAAAGAUUAUAAAGUCUUGUCUAUGCUAAGAUUGUAACUAUGUGAAAAUUAGAUAACAUAUUGACAGUAACUGGAAGGAAACAUUAAAACAGCUGAUUUUAGAAUGGCAAGAUAAGAGACUUUUUUCUCUUUUCUUUUUUUCUUGGUUGAUUUCUGUUAUUGUUGUUAUAGUAUUAUUUGUACAAUACAAGAUUGUCAGCUAAACAUGUAUAUUUUGCUUAAAAUUAUAAUUCACUUAUACUACAGACAUUAAAAAAUUA
RNAcentral lists this long non-coding RNA (7206 nucleotides) under Homo sapiens (human). Its description in RNAcentral is "non-protein coding lnc-SLC38A2-1:13". The record is from RNAcentral. Lineage: Eukaryota; Metazoa; Chordata; Mammalia; Primates; Hominidae.